This 402-nucleotide ribosomal RNA is filed under the name uncultured microorganism. RNAcentral describes it as "bacterial SSU rRNA". It matches the Rfam family "Bacterial small subunit ribosomal RNA", at positions 355 to 774 of the family's 1533-position model. The record is from RNAcentral.
UGGGGAAUAUUGCACAAUGGGGGAAACCCUGAUGCAGCAACGCCGCGUGAGUGAUGACGGUCUUCGGAUUGUAAAACUCUGUCUUCAGGGACGAUAAUGACGGUACCUGAGGAGGAAGCCACGGCUAACUACGUGCCAGCAGCCGCGGUAAUACGUAGGUGGCAAGCGUUGUCCGGAUUUACUGGGCGUAAAGGGAGCGUAGGUGGAUAUUUAAGUGGGAUGUGAAAUACUCGGGCUUAACCUGGGUGCUGCAUUCCAAACUGAAUAUCUAGAGUGCAGGAGAGGAAAGUAGAAUUCCUAGUGUAGCGGUGAAAUGCGUAGAGAUUAGGAAGAAUACCAGUGGCGAAGGCGACUUUCUGGACUGUAACUGACACUGAGGCUCGAAAGCGUGGGGAGCAAACA